Molecule: ribosomal RNA, 881 nt
Filed under: uncultured bacterium
Lineage: Bacteria
Description: bacterial SSU rRNA
Rfam family: Bacterial small subunit ribosomal RNA
Source: RNAcentral
GAUGAACGCUAGCGACAGGCCUAACACAUGCAAGUCGAGGGGCAGCACGGUGUAGCAAUACACGGGUGGCGACCGGCGCACGGGUGAGUAACGCGUAUGCAACCUACCUACUACAAGGGGAUAACCCGUUGAAAGACGGACUAAUACCCUAUAACACAGGGGAUCCGCAUGGAUAUAUUUGUUAAAGAUUAAUCGGUAGUAGAUGGGCAUGCGUUCCAUUAGCUUGUUGGUGAGGUAACGGCUCACCAAGGCAACGAUGGAUAGGGGAACUGAGAGGUUGAUCCCCCACACUGGAACUGAGACACGGCCCAGACUCCUACGGGAGGCAGCAGUGAGGAAUAUUGGUCAAUGGACGAGAGUCUGAACCAGCCAAGUCGCGUGAAGGAAGACGGCCCUACGGGUUGUAAACUUCUUUUGUAAGGGAAUAAAAAGUCUUACGGGAUAAGACGUUGCAGGUACCUUACGAAUAAGGAUCGGCUAACUCCGUGCCAGCAGCCGCGGUAAUACGGAGGAUCCGAGCGUUAUCCGGAUUUAUUGGGUUUAAAGGGUGCGCAGGCGGCAUGUUAAGUCGGCGGUGAAAUUUUGCAGCUCAACUGUAAAAGAGCCUUCGAAACUGGCAAGCUUGAGUGUGGAUGAAGUAGGCGGAAUUUGUGGUGUAGCGGUGAAAUGCAUAGAUAUCACAAAGAACACCGAUUGCGCAGGCAGCUUACUAAACCAUAACUGACGCUCAUGCACGAAGGCGUGGGGAUCAAACAGGAUUAGAUACCCUGGUAGUCCACGCAGUAAACGAUGAUUACUGGCUGUUUGCGAUACAAUGUAAGCGGCUGAGCGAAAGCGUUAAGUAAUCCACCUGGGGAGUACGUUCGCAAGAAUGAACUCAA